UGAUCUCCUACAAUCUAAGUUUUAGAAGAGAGAGAGUAGAUGUCAAGAUGUCUGGAUUCUAUUACGGGCUUUGCUACUAAGAGCUCAUAUGACCUCUACACUUCAAUUUCCCUAACUCUAAAAAAAAAGUAUGUGAACUUGAUGAACUUUGAAAUUAUUUCAGACUAGAAAAGUUGAUGGUAUUAUGAAUGAAAUGAACGUUUUGAUAAUAUUGCCAAUUAAAAGAAACCAUGACUGAGAGGGCCAAUGGUGACUAAGAGGACAGGUGCCCCACCAGGCAGACCUGCUAUGAGCAUUCAACAUCUGAGUUGCCAGGGACUUUUUAAUGACAAUGAAAUCAAGAUGAUGGAAUGCCUCAUAGAGUACAUGCCAUAAGUUCCAGGCAGAGUCUGUUCAGCACCCAGAUAAUCGGUAGACAAAUGUACAGUGUGGAAAAGGUAGAGAGAGACUAGCUGCCAAUAAGCCAAAGCAUUCAUUGCUUGCAAAGUAGAAGCAAAUGUUGCUCACAUCAGAGCAUAUGAAGCAAGGCCUCCUAUUUCAGUGUGUGUUGG
Molecule: long non-coding RNA, 551 nt
Filed under: Homo sapiens (human)
Lineage: Eukaryota; Metazoa; Chordata; Mammalia; Primates; Hominidae
Description: non-protein coding lnc-SORCS3-15:2
Source: RNAcentral